GGCCGUAGUCCCAAUGUUUUUACCUCACUUCAGUGUAGCCGGUUUGUUUUUAUUUCAUUUGCAGGAUUGCAAAUGGAUAAACUGCAGGACCUCUUCACUCCAAAGAUUUCUGAGUGGCACUCCUUCAAACGACUUCAUGCAUUUGGUUGUUUGGGGUCUGCAGGCAACAUUCCUCGCAUUCUGCCUUAACCCUGGAUUCCUGACCUCCUUUCACCCUCUGCAGUCUCCUUUCAGAGUGGGUGACACCAUGCUUGAUCCCUGCACACUUCUUACCUUUCU
Non-coding RNA from Plectropomus leopardus (leopard coralgrouper), 279 nucleotides. The record is from RefSeq and is a predicted model, not a curated record. NCBI's taxonomy places the organism in Eukaryota, Metazoa, Chordata, Actinopteri, Perciformes, Serranidae.